AGUCUCGGGAGGACUCCAGAGCCCCGAAUCUUUGACUGCUGCUCAGCCGUGGCUCCUGGGUGCUCCAGACCUGUGCAUGUGUCCCUGGGGACGCUGUGGGGUGGGCUGGGUUUUGGCUGGGGGUCCUCUUGCCACCAGUGCCCAGGGAGAUGAGAGCUGGCAGCGCCGUUUCUUUUCGGGCCCUCUCAAUGCUGCUGGGACUUGCUCCACCAUGUUCCCACCUUGUUCCCACAGCUCACUGCCGACACCACAGAGCACAGCCAGGAGCAGAAGGCAGAGCUGAGCCAGUGCCUCCUGCUGCAAGGUAAGGAGAGGAGCUGUGGCGCUGCCCCGUGGUGUCCCAGCAGCUCUCUCCCAAACCUGCUUGCUAAUGCAGGAUGGGAUUUCCUCCCCACAGCUCGCAUCUGCCCAGAGGAGACGAUCCCGUUCCUGGAGUCCCAGCUGGGCCACGAGAGGGAGGCCGUGCGCGUGGCAGCCCUGGGUCUGCUCGGUGCUCUGGCACGCUGUGACGAGCCCACGAUGGCAGAGAAGCUGCCCCAGGUGGUGGAGGCUGUCAAGCGUGUGUGCAGGGACCCCAGCAUCCGGGUGAGGAGGGCAGUUCUGCACUUCAUCAGGGAGCUGCUCAGUGCCAAUGCCCAGAGCUGAUCAGCGUGGGACGUUGUGGGCUACAUCUUCAGCGAGUUCAGCCAGAGCUCGAGCAAGAAGGGUAAGGAGAGCGUGCAACAUCUUCCCUGGGGAGAUCUGCUGCCAGGAGGCUGGCAUGGGAGCCUGCUGGGGCCACGCCUGAGCCUUCUGGGGCAGGAACUGAGAGCAAGCGGGGCGGGGGGUUCCCAAUGUUGUCUUGCAGGCUGCGGGACUCCUGUCUGCCCAGGAAGAAGGAGCUCUCCGAGGGCUGUGCAUGGACGUCCUGGGGUCCCUGGACAUCUCUGUGAGAGGGAUGGCCAAAGUAAGUCCUCCUCUGUCCUGCUGCUGCUGCUGCUCCUCUCCUCUCUUCAGGCCAUUUGUUCCUGGCCCCCUUUGCACACUUGAAAGCUCCCCCCCAGCAUGCCACGGGGCCCCCGCCCACGUGCGGG
RNAcentral lists this long non-coding RNA (1073 nucleotides) under Anas platyrhynchos platyrhynchos (common mallard). RNAcentral's name for it is "lncRNA (ENSAPLG00000024914.1)". Lineage: Eukaryota; Metazoa; Chordata; Aves; Anseriformes; Anatidae. The record is from RNAcentral.